Molecule: ribosomal RNA, 121 nt
Filed under: Capra hircus (goat)
Lineage: Eukaryota; Metazoa; Chordata; Mammalia; Artiodactyla; Bovidae
Source: RNAcentral
GUCUACGGCCAUACCACCCUGAACGCGCCCGAUCUCGUCUGAUCUCGGAAGCUAAGCAGGGUCGGGGGCCCGGUUAGUACUUGGAUGGGAGACCGCCUGGGAAUACCGGGUGCUGUAGGCU